CUUCUUCCUUAUGGCGGCAGCCUGAAUACAGUCUGUCUCCCCAAGGCCAACCCCAGCCCCCCCCCCCCCCGAAGUCUGCAGCAGUUGCUGAAGAUAACCCUAUUCUACCUUCCCAAGGUCCUCUGCCAUCCUGGUUGCCCUCCUCUGGACACUCUCUAGCUUAUUCAUCUCCCUAUAAACAUGGUGCCCACAAUUGGAUUUCAAACGGCCCGACUAGAGCCAAGUGUCCUCUUUUGUUCUGAACGGCAGGUUUCUCUCAAUAUAUCUGAGAGCGUUUUCACUUUUUGGAGUGUCCUGUCGCAGCACUGCCUGACGUUUGGCAUAUACGCUAGAGAUUCCCACUGAAGGCUGCCCAGCGCCAACCAGAAAUCACAACUGUCUUUCUUUGUUUGUUGUUCCUUUUUUGAUUCAUGGUUACACGAUUCAUGAUUCCCCCCUCCCGAAGCCAACAAGCAGUUCCCCUGGCUUAUCCAUGGAUCAUUGUUCAAAACCCAUCUCUGUGUUCUUCAUAUUUGCAGUGGAGCGAUCUUUUAAUACCCCAACCCCAAUCACAUCCCCAUGGAACCACUACGUGAUUGAUGGAUCAUAUGUUGUUCUUCUGCGUUUCUGCUCCCACAGUUCUUUCUCUCCAUGCGGAUGGUGAUCUUUCUCAGAAUUGUUCUGGGUCACUGAAUUGCUGCUAACAACUGCCUCUUUCUACAAAGCCCAUCAGUGUCUAGUUGUGCUCAGGGACACAAUCCUGUGUUCCCAGUUCACUGAGGACCUAUCUCCUGGUGUUUUCUAAGAACUGAAGGAAAAGGAGGACACUAGUGGCCACACAUAUGCUGCUUAAAACAUUUUUUUAACCCUUACCUGAGAAUUAGGUGACCCUGGACCUUGUGACCCUGGACAAGUCACUUCACUCCUAUUGCCCAGCCCUUAUUGCUUUUCUGCUUUGGAACUAAUACUCAGUAUUGAUUCUAAGACUGAAGGCAAGGGUUAUUAAAAAAAAAAGAUACUAAGUACUGAUUUCAAGGCAGAAGAUCAGUAAGGGCUAGGCAAUGGGGAUUAAGUGGCUUGUCCACUCACACAGCUAGGAAGCGUCUGAUGUUGGAUUUGAACCCACAUCCUCUCAUUUCAUGCUCUAUCUACUGAGCCAUCUAACUUCCCCUACUACUUACAAUUUUACAAAACACUUUCCUCAGAAGUUAAGGAAAUAUACAGCAAAAAUACCAUCACUUCCAUUUUAUUGAUGAGAAAAGGGGCCAGCUAGUGGGGGUCCUGGAUUCAAAUCUAGCCUCAGAUACUACCAAGCUCCUUGACCCUGGGCAAGUCACUUAACCCCCUUGUCUAGCCUUUGCUACUCUUCUGACUUGGCACCAGUACUUAGUAUUGACAAGAUGGAAGGUAAGGGUUGAAAAAGAUGAGAAAAGUGAGGCUUGAAAUAUUUAAGUGAUCAGCCUGUUUGCCAUAUUUGGUUGGUGUCAGAUCAAACACACAGAGCUGGCAGGGACCAUUUAGACCAAUUUCCUCCUUUAAAGAAGGACACAGACACGUGAAGUUGAAUAGUGUCACAGACAGGAUUUGAACCCAGUUAUUGUGGCUUCAAACCCAGCACUCUUUCCCUGGAGACAAGACUUCUGAAUCCAAAUCCAGUAUUUUUUCUCCUCCAUGCUCAUCCUAGGUCAGAAAGGGUUAUUCUGUAGGAAUACAGAAGGGGUCAGAAGGGCUUGCUUGCACCCCACAAUGACACCUCUCAACCAUCUGACACAACAGUACACACAAGAUGCCAUUUGCCAGAGUUUUUCUUGACUUUAUCCUCAGGAAGCUGUGGAAUCUGCUCCUAUUUCUUUGUUACCAAUGAUUUAUCCAAGCCUUUUCUGAGUCCACUUUAGAUCAGGCUUUAUUGUUGUUUAGUCGUUUCAGUCUGGUGUGACUCUUCCUGACCCCACUUGGGAUUUUCUUGGCAAAGACACUGGAAUGGGAGGAGUCAAGGCUGAUUGAUAAGAGGAACCCGGAGCCCUUGGAUCACACCUUUCCUAGAACAUUGCUAUAGUCUCUUAUAGAUCUCAUUCCAUUGUAGAUUAUGGGACACACUGCUGCUAAAGUAAUUUUCCCUAAAUAUAGAUAGACAUAACCAUGUGACUUCCCCCUCACCUCUUUUUUUAAACCCUUCCUUCCAUCUUAAAUCAAAACUAAGUAUUGGCUCCAAGACAAGUAGCAGUAAGGGCUCCACAUUGGGGGUUAAGUGACUUGCCCAGGGUCACACUGCUAGGAAGUGUCUGAGGUCACAUUUGAACCCAGAACCUCCCAUCUCGUAAUACACUGAGCCACCUAGCUGCUCCCCUCUUUUCCUUUAACCUUCAGUUCAAGCGCCAUCUUCUGCAUUGAAAGCUAUCCUGAUCUCUUCCAAUUGUAUUGAGUUACUUUGUAUACAUGCUUUUAUUCACUUUACACAGAAUCUCUCAAUAUUCUUAGUGCAAUCCUAAACUAUCAAAGGUUAAAAGUACACCUAAAUUCUAAGCUAUUAAAAAUUAGUUUUGUUCCAGAUUUCUAAGCUUUUCCAGGUUAUUUGGUUGUCUUCUGUGGUAUCUGACUCUUUGGGACCUCAUUUGGGAUUUUCUUGGUAAGAUACUGGAGUGGUUUGCCAUUUCCUUCUCCAACUCAUUUUACAGAUGUGGAAACUGAGGCAAAGAGGGUUAAGUGACUUACUCAGGAUCACAUAGUAAGUGUCUGAGGCCAGAUUUGAACUCAGGAAAAUGCAUCUUCCUGACCCCAGGCCCAUCACCUAGCUUCCCUAACCUUUAAUACCUUAGAACCUUAGUGCAUUCCUAACCUUUAAAAAGGGGUAUCUAGGUAGCACAGUGGACAGAGAAUCAGGCCGGAAGUUAAGAAAAUCCAUCUUCCUGAAUUCAGAUCUAGUUGUGUGACCUUGGGCAAGUCAUGUAACCCUGUUUACCUCAGUUUCCUCCUAUGCAAAAUGAGCUGGAGAAGGAAAUGACCAAGCACUCCAGUGUCUUUGCCAAGAAAACCCUAAAUAGGUCACUCAGAGUCAGAUGCAACUCAAAAACAACUAAACAACAAUCCUGCAUUUGCUGGAAGACCUAAGUGUGUAACCCUCCCUGCAUUCUCUCCCCCCUUUGAGUAACAUAAAAUCAGUGGUGUUUGGCCCUACUGUAUGCCACUUAGGUGGUAAGAAGCCAAUUUUAGGUUGAUUUUGGUUGAGAUUUGGUGGAGGGAUGGAAGGAAGGAAGGAGAAUGGAAGGGGAUAAAGAUGAUGGAGAGAACAAAGAGGGCAAAGAGUGCUAGGGACACGAGGAUAAAGCAGAAUGAUUUGUCAACAAAAUCUGUCUUCCUCUUUGAGGCUUUAUAGGGCACACAUUUUCCCAUCCCUCUUAAUCCUUAUCUGACAGAGAGGAUUUUCUAGCCAUUAAAUCAUAGCUUUUCUGGAAAAAAAGAAUAACCACCCAAACCCCCAGAAUAAUGUCCCACCCCCUCCUUCCCACUACCUUAUCAUUUUCUGUCAAGCUCAGGCAAUGGAUGGAGUAGGGAAGUGGAAGGUCAGUUCUGAGGAAUGGAGGAAGACCCAGAAGGCAUCCUUCCAGGAACAGAAGACCUUGCUGGCUCUGAGAGGCAGCAUAAGAAAAGACUGGAGAUGUUUGUCCUCUUCUUGAAUGUUAUGGAUCCAUGACCCUACCUACACUACUCACUGGGUGGUUACACACCCUGGCUCUUUCCUUAAAGAAACAGUCUCCUCUGACAAACAAAGACUCUCCAUUCAGUCUCUUGCAACAUUCCAAGCCUGAUAGGGAAGGAUGGCACCAGGAGAGCCAGUUACUCAUUCCAAAUUAGAAAGCCCUGGCCAGGGAGGAUCACAGAAUCUUGGAGCUAAAAGGAAUGAGAGAGGCUGGAGGCUGCCUUGUCCAGCCUGUCUCUGGGGAAUCUCCUCUGCCUCAGGUUUUUUGAUAAUGAUAAUAAUUACAGCUGGAACAUCACACUUUAAGGGUUACUCCAGAAAAAAGACAACAACCCAAAGAAUUUGAGUCCGUGUCUAUUUGUGCAACAAAAUACAUGCAACAAAAAUACAGAAAGGUAUUUAUUAGAGCAGGAACAAAGGCUACAGCAACAGUAAUCUUACUUCCUGGUGCAUCUUUAAUUAAUCAUUCAGAGUUUAUUGAGCACUUGUAAUGUGCCUCCAUACUAGCCGGAAGGAGGGAAAGGCAGAGACAGAGAGACACACAGAUGUAUGUUCCUUUCAAGGAAUUUAUGAUUUUGGAGAAGAUGAAUGUAAGAAACUAUGGACACAGGCCAGCUAUGUGGCUCAGUGUAUAGAGUCAGGCCUAGAGAUGGGAGGUCCUGGGUUCACAUUUGUCCUCAGAUACUUCCUAGCUGUGUGACCCUGGGCAAGUCACUUACUCCCUCUGCCUACCCCUUACAGCUUUUCUGUUUUGGGAUCAAUACACAGUAUUGAUUCCAAGAUGAAAGGAAAGGAUUUUUUCCUUUUUUAAAAGAAACUAUGGAGAAGUGCUAAUGUUAGUGAUAUGAAUAAUAUUACACUUAGCAGGUAGCAUAGAGAGGAAAUCCAAGAUGAUUCUCCCAAAGCAAGUAAGUGCAAAUCAAAAUUGAUCUGUGAAACUGAGGUCAAGGGAAGGUGCCCAAGUGAAGAAAAAAACCACAGAAGUCAAGAAGUAGAAAGAACUCUGGGCCAGGAUUCAAAAUGGGGGAAUGGAAGGACUUAGUUGAGAAGGUGGCAUUUGAAUUGACCUUUAAAGGAUGAGAAGGAAUUCAACAAGGUCCUAGAGGAUAGGAAGAUGUUUCAGACCUCCGGAAUAGUCUAAACAAAGGUACAGAGGUGGGAAAGUACAAGGCAUGGCCAGGGGCCCCCAAAAGGAAUGUAGAGAAUACCUAUCUAACUGCCAACUGUUAUUGGAUUCACAUCUAGUAGAAUAUCUCUUGAUAAAAAUUCCGGAAUCCUGGAUCCAGGACUCAGUUCUUCUGAGGGCUGGGAAUGGACUCAGCAUUCUGUGCUUUCCAUUUAGUGCCCUCUUUUUUUUUUUAAACUCUUAAAAUUGGCACUAUGUAUUGGUUCCAAACAGAAGAGCUGAGCAAUGGGGGGUUAAACUUGCUUAGAGUCAAACAGCUAGGAAGUGUCUGAAGUCAAAUUCGAACCAGGAUGUCCUAUCUACAGGUCUGGUGCUCUAUCCAUUGAACCACCUAGUUUCCCCCCUAGUGUCCUCUGAGUGUCAUCUCACUACUGCCAGAUCAUCUCAUGACACAUUGGUCUAAAUAAAGGCAGGCCAGACCCACAAGAAAAAGUCUGUGACUUCCAAACCCAUGUUUCCUCUUGUUCCCCCCCCCUCCCCUGCUUCUGAGUCAUAGAAUCACAUAUUCAUAGACUUUUCCAGUUGGAAGGGAUCUAAGGAGUCUUCUAGUUCAACACAUAUAUGAUAGGUGGCUCAGUGGAUAUAGAGAGGUUGGCCUAGGGACACGAGGUCCUGGGUUCAAAUAUGGCUUUAGCCUUCCUAGCUGUGUGAGCCUGGGCAAGUCACUUGACUCCCAUUGCCUAGCCCUUACUGCUUUUCUGCCUUUUUUCUCUAAAGAGAAAAAAAAAAAAGGAAUGGAAUAAUCACCAUAACUUUCUUCAAAAGAGAUCAUCCAGACUUAAAGACUUUUAAGAAGAGGAUACCUACUUUCUCAAUUCAGUCCAUUUCACUUUUGUAUAUAUCUAAUUAAUAUGAAGUUUUUUCCUGAUAUCUGACUUAAAUUUGUCUCUUUGUUACUACUAUUCAGUGGAAACUCCUCUGGCUUCCUUCAACACUCAGCCCAUCUCUCAUCAUUCUUGAGGAGGUCUUUCCCUUUCUCUAUGUUGAUUAUGUCUCUUCUAAAAUUACCUGCCAUCCACUCUGUAUUAAUUUGAUUCCAUAAAUUAAAUCCUUUCUCCACAUAGCUGUCCUUCAAAUAUUUGAAAACAGUUAUCAUGCUCCCUCUUCUUUCCCAGUCUUUUGGUCUUUCCAGAAGAAACCUCUUCAGUUCUUUCAAUUUUCAUAGAAUAUGGGCUCCAGGUCCUUCACCAUCCUGGUUGCCCUUACCUGGAAAACCUGCUUUUCAAUGUCCUUCAGCUAAGUGGCAAAAUGGACAGUGUUCUGAGACUAGAGUUAAGGGAGACCUGGAAUCAAAUCUAGCCUCAGACACUUAAUAGCUAUGUGACACUGGGCAAGUCUGUUUGCCUCAGUUUCUUUAACUGUAAAAUGGAGAUAAAGUUUCACAGAGUUGUUAUGAAGAUGAAGAAAGCAUAUUUGAAGGCAUUUUGUAUACAGAAGGCACUUAAUGAAUACUUAUUUCCUUCCCCUUUCUUUCUUAAACCAAGGAUCCCAAAAUUGAACAAAAUAAUCUAUCAUGAUGCUCUAAUUUAUCAUGACAGAGUCCUUGACCUAGUGUUAAAUACUUUGCUAUGGAGUUUUGUUAUUCCUGUUUGCACAUUUCCUUUCUUACUCUGCACUGGCAGCCAAUGUCCCAAGAACUUGGGGAAGGGAGGUGAAACAGACAAAACAAGAUGGCCCUUAUAAUUCUCUUUAGUGAAGACAACUAUAUUUUUCAACUGAAAUGGAUUAAUCUCAAAAGGAAAAGAAAGGGAAAAAUCCCGACAGGUAGAAGGUUGUCAAAUUAUAGUUAUAGGGCAUGAGAAUGUUAUCCCAAGAUACUUCUGAACCAGGUAUAAUGAGCCAGCACAGCUUCCAGGCUCAUUGGUCCCAUUCCAUCUAAGGAACUUCCCCUUUGUAGAUUAGUGCCUUCUUUUUGAUUUACAAUCUUAGAAAGGUUCCUGAAUUGACAGUGUGAUAUAGCAAGCCUUCUUCUGCCUCUGCUCCAAUCUCCUCCCCAAAAUUAAAUGCAUCAUUAGCUGUAUUAAGUGAAGUAUAUGUUCCAGGAAUAAAGAGGAGUGAGGAUCUGCCCAUGUGAUAUCAUCUUUCAAGUAUUAUGCUGAGUUCUAAGUGUUUUCGUUUAGGAGGGCAUUGGUAAAUAGGAAAGAAGCCAGGAUCCUGAAGAACCUUAAGUCCUUGUCAUAUUGAGGAAGGAUUGAAGGAACUGUGGAUAUUUAACUUAGAGAAGAGAAGACUUGGGGCUUUUUUAAAGGCAUAUUUUAUUUGGGAAGUAUAGAUUGAACUAGCUGGCCACUACAAUUCCUACUGACUCUAAAAAAAUUAUGCCAAUGCUUUCAUUAUUUAUUUAAAACCUUACCUUCUAUCUCAAUAACAACUUUUAAGACAGAAGGGCAAGGGCUAGGCAAACAGAGUUAAGUGACUUGCCCAGGGUCAUACAAUUAGAAGCUAAUAGGUUUAAAGAGGCAAAAUCAGGGCAGCCAAAUGGUUCAAUAGAUAGGGAGCCAAGAGUAGAGAUGAGAGGUGCUGGGUUCAAAUUUGAUCUCAACUAGGCAAAUCACUUAGCUCUGAUUGCCUAGUCCUUACUGUUCUUGUGCCUUGGAACAUUGAUUCUAAGAUGAGGGUUUUAAAAAAAAUGCAAAUCUUUAUAUUUCAAAAGUUUCUCUUUCUAUGACUAACUAGUGCUUAAGAUAACAUAGCUAUAGCUAUAGUUACAGUUAGGACUUGAA
This is a long non-coding RNA of Monodelphis domestica (gray short-tailed opossum), 7585 nucleotides long. RefSeq lists it as uncharacterized. NCBI's taxonomy places the organism in Eukaryota, Metazoa, Chordata, Mammalia, Didelphimorphia, Didelphidae. The record is from RefSeq and is a predicted model, not a curated record.